ACGGGUGAGUAAUGCCUAGGAAUCUGCCUGGUAGUGGGGGAUAACGCUCGGAAACGGACGCUAAUACCGCAUACGUCCUACGGGAGAAAGCAGGGGACCUUCGGGCCUUGCGCUAUCAGAUGAGCCUAGGUCGGAUUAGCUAGUUGGUGAGGUAAUGGCUCACCAAGGCGACGAUCCGUAACUGGUCUGAGAGGAUGAUCAGUCACACUGGAACUGAGACACGGUCCAGACUCCUACGGGAGGCAGCAGUGGGGAAUAUUGGACAAUGGGCGAAAGCCUGAUCCAGCCAUGCCGCGUGUGUGAAGAAGGUCUUCGGAUUGUAAAGCACUUUAAGUUGGGAGGAAGGGCAUUUACCUAAUACGUAAGUGUUUUGACGUUACCGACAGAAUAAGCACCGGCUAACUCUGUGCCAGCAGCCGCGGUAAUACAGAGGGUGCAAGCGUUAAUCGGAAUUACUGGGCGUAAAGCGCGCGUAGGUGGUUUGUUAAGUUGAAUGUGAAAUCCCCGGGCUCAACCUGGGAACUGCAUCCCAAACUGGCAAGCUAGAGUAUGGUAGAGGGUGGUGGAAUUUCCUGUGUAGCGGU
This 584-nucleotide ribosomal RNA is filed under the name Pseudomonas sp. StFLB194. Its description in RNAcentral is "bacterial SSU rRNA". It matches the Rfam family "Bacterial small subunit ribosomal RNA", at positions 102 to 682 of the family's 1533-position model. The record is from RNAcentral. Lineage: Bacteria; Pseudomonadati; Pseudomonadota; Gammaproteobacteria; Pseudomonadales; Pseudomonadaceae.